UACGGGGGGGGCAAGCGUUGUUCGGAAUUACUGGGCGUAAAGGGCUCGUAGGCGGCCAACUAAGUCAGACGUGAAAUCCCUCGGCUUAACCGGGGAACGGCCUCUGAUACUGGCUGGCUGGAGUUCGGGAGAGGGAUGCGGAAUUCCAGGUGUAGCGGUGAAAUGCGUAGAUAUCUGGAGGAACACCGGUGGCGAAGGCGGCAUCCUGGACCGGCAUUGACGCUGAGGCGCGAAAGCUAGGGUAGCAAACGGG
This 253-nucleotide ribosomal RNA is filed under the name uncultured bacterium. Its description in RNAcentral is "partial 16S ribosomal RNA". It matches the Rfam family "Bacterial small subunit ribosomal RNA", at positions 524 to 776 of the family's 1533-position model. The record is from RNAcentral.